UGGGGAAUAUUGGACAAUGGGCGCAAGCCUGAUCCAGCAAUGCCGCGUGUGUGAAGAAGGCCUUCGGGUUGUAAAGCACUUUUAUCAGGAGCGAAACGCUGUCGGCUAAUACCCGGCGGAACUGACGGUACCUGAGGAAUAAGCACCGGCUAACUUCGUGCCAGCAGCCGCGGUAAUACGAAGGGUGCAAGCGUUAAUCGGAAUUACUGGGCGUAAAGCGUGCGUAGGCGGUUUCUUAAGUCUGCUGUGAAAUCCCCGGGCUCAACCUGGGAAUGGCAGUGGAUACUGGGAGGCUAGAGUGUGUCAGAGGGUGGUGGAAUUCCCGGUGUAGCGGUGAAAUGCGUAGAGAUCGGGAGGAACAUCAGUGGCGAAGGCGGCCACCUGGGACAACACUGACGCUGAGGCACGAAAGCGUGGGGAGCAAACAGGAUUAGAUACCCUGGUAGUCCACGCCCUAAACGAUGCGAACUGGAUGUUGGCCUCAACUCGGAGCAUCAGUGUCGAAGCUAACGCGUUAAGUUCGCCGCCUGGGGAGUACGGUCGCAAGACUGAAACUCAAAUGAAUUGAC
RNAcentral lists this ribosomal RNA (569 nucleotides) under uncultured bacterium. RNAcentral's name for it is "partial 16S ribosomal RNA". It matches the Rfam family "Bacterial small subunit ribosomal RNA", at positions 355 to 914 of the family's 1533-position model. The record is from RNAcentral.